Long non-coding RNA from Magnolia sinica, 2675 nucleotides. RefSeq lists it as uncharacterized. The transcript is spliced from 2 exons. Lineage: Eukaryota; Viridiplantae; Streptophyta; Magnoliopsida; Magnoliales; Magnoliaceae. The record is from RefSeq and is a predicted model, not a curated record.
UUUAUGUUUUUGUUGUUAUUUUGUAUUCGCAUUUUGAAUUCUCGGAAUAGCUGAUUUUGUCGAUGAGGAAGAUGAGUAGAUUGAUACUGUAUACGAACACGUGGCAGACGUUUGUUUGGGAGAUCGGUACCCCUUGUCUGUAGUGGCCCUCAUCAUGCGUUGGCCAGGACCUGAGAAGCUGGCAUCCUAACUGCUCGAUUGAAUGGAGCAAGUGACGUUCAACUGAAUGUUUUGGAAUGCCCUAUCUGCCUUUUCUUGACCAUGGCAGCCUCAAUUCAUGGGCCAUGACUGAAAAAAGGCCAAUUGUAUGAUUAAUGCAUACCUAAAGGGGAAUGCAAAUAGAUCAAAGAAAAGAAGAAAGAGAUUGCGGGAGAGAACCUAACAAUCCUCUAGCUGAAUGCUAGUGACUGAGGAAACCAUCUCUCCAAAUCUUCUACUAAAUAAAACCAAAGAAAAAAAAAAACAUGAAAACUGAAAUUUUUACUAAAUAACAAUAACAAUAAUAAUAAUAAUAAUAAUGCACUAUACCUCCAUAACAUAGCCUUAUAUAGGUUCACGAAAAAAAAGAAGCCCUGAUAAUAAAAAAUGAACAAAGGUGCCCCUAAGUCCCGUCACGAGCCUUCAGUAAAUGGGUCAUAUCUCACCCAAACAACCUUGGAAUUACAUGAUCUUGGGCUCGUUUGAACGCUUACUCAACAAGCUAUCAAAUGAGGACCAAUUUUGUGUCAUUCCAACAUCGUUAGAUGCCUCAAAAGUAGCCUGCAACAGAAAGUGAUGAAAAUACAAGAUAAAUUUUAUUAACUAAAUCAUGACUCAACUUCACCCUAAAGACUAAUUAAUUAAAUAAAACCUAUGAAAUUAAUGACCAUAUGAUUGUUCCCAUAGACCCAGAAUUUAAGUUGACUGUCGUUCUCAUCAAAAUUUGGUCCAAAUCAUCAGUCAAGACAAUUCGAUUGGUAGGAUUGAUCAGAUUUUAGAUCAACCAGCUUGUGUGGCCAUUUGGUUGCAUCAAUUCCCUCAGGCUUCGAAAAGAACUCAUCCUCAAGUUCAAAUUGGCGGAUGCGCAGUUUGUGCAUGAUACAACAUUUAAAUACGCCAUAUUUUCUUUUGCUUCUUGUUAGUCCUUCAUGUUCUAGGUGUUGAUUGGGGCCCUUUUGUCAUGGUCGGCUUCUGAUUUGCAUACCUUGAUUGGUGUUGCGAUGGUACAAUUGUGUGGACCUCCAUAGAGUUGCCACUAUGAUCGGAGCACUGUCCAUCUCUGUGACCACUGGGUCAUACAUAUCUAUUAAACCUUCAGUCUCUUCAAUUGGGUCAUUCGUCAAUUAUCUUUUAGCUUGACCUGAACUUCCUCCAAUCUAGCUGUUGGUCCAUCCCCAUCCAUGGAUUGAUCAAGCAAUCCAACGGAGGAUUCCUCUUGGAUCGCCACAUUGUCUGCAAUCACAUUAUCCUCACAAACUCUAGAUACAAUAGAUUGAAGUCCAUAGUGCCUUUCUCCUUCAAUCAAGGUCCAAAGCAAGCUCUCAUUGCCUCGUUGAGUUCCUUGAAUUUUUUUUCGCAAUUUCUUCUGUUAAUGCUCAAAUAUUCUUCUUGAGGUCCUGUGGAUUCUGCUUCUUCAUCUCUUUUGCUAUUGUUGACAGAAGAUACUUUUGAGCAGCCAACAUGUUGCUGCUGUCCUUCAAAAUAUUGAAAGGGUUAUUGAAAGAAAUUUCCAUGAGACACGUAUGAAGAUGGGUAAAGACUCGGGGCAAUAUGAGGGACAAUCAUGAUAGUCGAGGUUGUAGGUCUAAGCAUUGUGGGAAGGAAGCAAAAAGGAAAAGAGAGAAGGGAUGAUGAAGGAUUGAAGAAAAGGGGAAAGAUGAAAGGGAGGGAUUGAGAUGUGGAUAUUAUCUUAUUUCAGUUUACCAAGACAAGAACUUGCUCUGAUUUCUUCUUCUUUUUUUUCUUUUUUCUUUUUUGAGGGAGAGAGAUCUAUGAUGGCAAUUACUGUAAACCCCAAAAGGGGAUGCAGAUGAUCAAAGAAAAAAAGAAAGAGAUUGUGGGAAAGAACUCAACAACCCUAUAGCUGAAUGCUAGAGACUGGAAAACCCUCUCUCCAAGUCUUCUCUGGAAAUAACAUGGAAACUGAAUUUUUUUUAUCAAUAAUUAUGGUAAUAAUGCAUUACACCUCCAUAACAUAGCUAUAUAGGUUUAAAAGAAAAAUAAAAUAAAAUAAAAGCCCUAAUGAGAGCCCCUAAAGCCUGUCACUACCAUAUGGCCCUUGUGCAAAUGGGCCAUAUCUCACCCACACGGCGUCAAAACUGCAUGAUCUUGGGCUUGUUUAAAAACUUAGUAAGCCAUCAAAUGGGAUCAAUUUUGUGUCAUUUAGAUGAUGUAUGAGACACUUUGAUGCCCCAAAAGUGGUCACUUGCCAGCCAAAUAAGUGACAGAAAUACAAAAAAGAUUUUAGUAACUAAAUCAUGACUCUCACCUCCAAAGACUAAUUAAAUAAAUAAAACCGAUGAAAUUGAUGAUGCAUAUUGAUCCCAUUGUCCCACAAUUUAAAUUGACCUUUGAUCCCAUUCAAUCGGCCAUCACCAUCAGCGUCAACAUCAAUCAAGACAAUCUGAAUGGUAGGAUUGAUCAGAUUUUAGUUCAACCAGCUUAUGUGGUCAGUUGGUUGCAUCAUCCUAACUGUU